GAGUUUGAUCCUGGCUCAGGAUGAACGCUGGCGGCGUGCCUAACACAUGCAAGUCAGACGGUGAUGAAUAAUCACAGUGGCGCACGGGUGAGUAACACGUAGCUUAUCUGCCCUCAAGCGGGGGAUAACUCAGCGAAAGUUGAGCUAAUACCCCAUAAGCUCACGACGAAUAGACAGUUGUGAGAAAAGGCUUCGGUCACUUGAGGAUGAGGCUGCGACCCAUCAGCUAGUUGGAGUGGUAAAAGCACACCAAGGCAACGACGGGUAGGGGGCCUGAGAGGGUGACCCCCCACACUGGGACUGAGACACGGCCCAGACACCUACGGGUGGCUGC
This 334-nucleotide ribosomal RNA is filed under the name uncultured bacterium. Its description in RNAcentral is "bacterial SSU rRNA". It matches the Rfam family "Bacterial small subunit ribosomal RNA", at positions 9 to 352 of the family's 1533-position model. The record is from RNAcentral.